RNAcentral lists this ribosomal RNA (497 nucleotides) under uncultured bacterium. RNAcentral describes it as "partial 16S ribosomal RNA". It matches the Rfam family "Bacterial small subunit ribosomal RNA", at positions 31 to 507 of the family's 1533-position model. The record is from RNAcentral.
GAAGAAAGCGGGAGGCGUGCCUAAUACAUGCAAGUUGAGCGAUGAAGAUUGGUGCUUGCACCAAUUUGAAGAGCAGCGAACGGGUGAGUAACGCGUGGGGAAUCUGCCUUUGAGCGGGGGACAACAUUUGGAAACGAAUGCUAAUACCGCAUAACAACUUUAAACAUAAGUUUUAAGUUUGAAAGAUGCAAUUGCAUCACUCAAAGAUGAUCCCGCGUUGUAUUAGCUAGUUGGUGAGGUAAAGGCUCACCAAGGCGAUGAUACAUAGCCGACCUGAGAGGGUGAUCGGCCACAUUGGGACUGAGACACGGCCCAAACUCCUACGGGAGGCAGCAGUAGGGAAUCUUCGGCAAUGGACGAAAGUCUGACCGAGCAACGCCGCGUGAGUGAAGAAGGGUUUCGGAUCGUAAAACUCUGUUGGUAGAGAAGAACGUUGGUGGGAGUGGAAAGCUCAUCAAGUGACGGUAACUACCCAGAAAGGGACGGCUAACUACGUG